RNAcentral lists this long non-coding RNA (4617 nucleotides) under Homo sapiens (human). Its description in RNAcentral is "HSALNT0319924". The record is from RNAcentral. Lineage: Eukaryota; Metazoa; Chordata; Mammalia; Primates; Hominidae.
CUUACAUCACAGCCUUUUGCCCUUUGUCAUGAAGUUGUACAUAUAAAUGGUUCAAAAUCAGAGAAGAAGAAUGGAGACAUUAAAAGGUCUCUAGAGAAGUUCAGACUCAGCUUCUGCCUUAUGCCAACAAAAUUUGAAAAACCUAUGGAAAGAGAGAAAACAACUGGCCCAAAAUCUAAGGAUAGAAAGUAUCUCCAGGGAGAAAGGAGAUUUGCACCCAUGAUCAUCUGAAGGUAGAUACAGGUCUGAGCAGACAGACAGAAGCCAGCACAACUGCAGGAGAAAUGAAAUGAGGUUCUAAGCCACCUUACAGCUUAUAUUGGCCCCACCAGUCUUUUUGUUCAUUGGUUACGUGAGUCAAAUUUAUAUCCCUAAAUCCGGAAUAUGCUGCCUCCAGAAUCCAAAGAAGCCUGAGAAGCAUGGUGAUUCCUUCUUAGUGGUGGAAAGAAUGAGUUAUACACAAGAUGAAUGGAUUAACCACUGGAAGACCUGCACUACUACAAAUGUUAAAGAAAGUCCUUCCAAGAAAGAAAAAAGGCAACUUAAUGGAAACUUGUGUCUACCAAAUGGAAAGAAGAGCAAUGGGAAUCCUAACUACGGUACACUGAAGAACACUUUUGCAGCUGACUAACAACUCUUGAUAUUGAGAAAGUUAUCAGAAUUAUUUGCAAAUCUCCUCUCAGAUUUGCAAAGGAUGCUGGCAUUUCUCCAUGAGGCAGGAGUGUGAGAAAAAAAGUUGAAUGUGGUGAUGGGGAAAACACUGAAGUUCAAAAGAAGCGAAGACAAGAAGCUACUCAUGGCAGCAGCUUUUCCCAUAAAUCAAGAAAUGCUACAGAUUAUAAAUGAGAUGAGACUAUCAAGAAGAGACCUAAUAGGAGUGUGAAGACCAAAAAUUUAAAAGACGUGGUUAUAUACUUUGAGUAAACUCUAUAUAUAGGACAAUGUUAUUGUUUGGUUCUGUGUUCCUCACUCAAAUCUCACCUCAAAUUAUAAUCCCCAUGUGUCAAGGGCAGGACCAGGUGGAAGUAACUGGAUCAUGGGGGAAGUUUUCCUCAUGCUUUUCUCAUAGUAAGUGAGUUCUCAUAAGAUCUGAUUUUUUUAUAAGCAUAUGGCAUUUCCCCUCCUAGCAUUUUGCCUCCUGCUGCCUUGCAAAGACGGCAGUUGCUUCCCCUUUGCCUUCCGCCAUGACUGUAAGUUCCCUGAGUCCUCUCCAGCCAUGUGGAACUGUGGGUUAAUUAAAUCUCUUUCCUUAUAAAUUACCCAGUCUUGGGCAGUUCUUUAUAGCAGUGUGAAACUGGACUAAAAUAGAAAAUUGGUACCAGGAGAGUGAGGCACUGCUGUAAAGACAUCACUAUAAAGGCACCUGAAAAUGGAAGCAACUUUGGAACUAGCUAAUGGGCAGAGGUUGGAACCAUUUGCAGGGUUCAGAAGAAGACAUGAAGAUGUGGGAAAGUUUGGAAAUUCCUGGAGACUUGUUGAAUGCUUUGACGAAAAUGCUGAUACUGAUAUGGACAAUAAAUUUCAGGCUGAGAUGCUCUCAGAUACAAAUAAAGAACUUGUUGGGAACUGGAAUAAAGGUGACUAUUUGCUAUAUAUGCUUUAGCAAAGAGACUGGUGGCAUUUUGCCUCUGUCCUAGAGAUCUGUGGAGCUUUGAACAUGAGAAAGAUGAUUUAGAAUAUCUGGUGGAAGAAAUUUAUAUGCAGCAAAGUGUUCAAGAAGUGACUCGGGUGCUCUUAAAACCAUUCAGUUGUAUGCAUUCACAAAGAUAUGGUUUGGAAUUGGAACUUAUGUUUAAAAGGGAAGCAGAGAAUAAGAGUUCAGAAAAUUUGCAGCCUGAUGAUGCAAUAGAAAAGAAAAAUCUCAUUUUCUGGGGAGAAAUUCAAGCCUGCUGCAGAAAUUUGCGUAAGUAACAAGGAGACAAAUGUUAGUCACCAAGACAAUGGAGAAUAUGGCCUCAGUCAAUGUCGGAUGUCUUCACUGCAAGCCCUCCAAUCACAGGCCUGAAGGAUUGGAGAGAAAAAAUAAUUUUGUGGGCAAGGCCCAGGGACUUGCUGCUUUGUGCAGUCUCUGAACUUGGUGCCCUGCAUCCCAGCUGUGUCUAAUAGUGGCCAACAUACAGCUCAGGCCAUUGCUUUAGAGGGUGAAAGCCCCAAGCCAUGGUGUCUUACAUGUGGUUUUGGGCCUGCAGAUGCACAGAUGUCAAGAAUUGAGGUUUGAGAACCUCCACCUAGAUUUCAGAGGAUGUAUGGAAACUCUUGGAUGUCCAGGCAGAAGAGUACUACAGGGGCAGAGCUCUCCAUGGAGAACAUCUGCUAGGGCAGUGCAGAGUCCCCACUGGGGCGCUGACUAGUGGAGCUGUGAGAAGAAGGCCACCAACCUCCAGACCCCAGAAUGGUAGAUCCACCAACAUCUUGCAUCGUACACCUAGAAAAGUCACAGACGCUCAACAACACCUCAUGAAAGUAGCCAGGAGAGGCGCUGUAUCCUGCAAAGCCACAGAGGCAGAGCUGCCCAAGGCUGUGGUAUCCCACCUCCUACAUCAGUGUGAUUGGAUGUGAGACAUGUAGUCAAAUGAGGUCAUUUUGGAACUUUUAAGACUUAAUGACUGCUUUAUUGUAUUUUGGACUUGCAUGAGGCUUGUAGCCCCUUUGUUUUAGCCAGUUUAUCUCAUUUGGAAUGGGACUAUUUAUCCAAAGCCUGUACCCCAUUGUAUCUAGGAAGUAACUGACUUGCUUUGGAUUUUACAAGCUCAUAGGCAGAAGGGACUUCCCUUGUCUCAGAUGAGACUUUGGACUGUGGCCUUUUGAGUUAAUGUUAAAAUGAGUUAAGACUUUGAGGAACUGUUGGGGAGGCAUGAUUAGUUUUGAAAUGUAAAAAGACAUGAGAUUUGGGAGGGGCCAAGGACAGAAUAAUACGGUUUGGCUCUGUGUCCCCUUCCAAAUUUCACCUUUAAUUGUAAUCGCCAUAACCCCCACAUGUCAAUGGUGGAAACAGGUAGAGGUAAUUGGAUCGUGGAGGCAGUUUCUUCUAUGCUGUUAUUCAUGAUAGCGAAUGAGUUUUCAUGAGAUCUGAUGGUUUUAUAAGCAUCUGGCAUUUCUUCUGCUUGCACUUCUCAUUCCUGCCACCUUGUGAAGAAGGUGCUUUUCUUCCCAUUUGCGUUCAACCAUUAUUAUAAGUUUCCAGAGGCAAACCCAGCCACACAGAAGUGUGAGUCAAUUAAACCUCUUUUUUAAUAAAUUACCACUCUCAAACAGUUCUUUAUGGCAGUAUGAAGACAGACUAACACAGAAAGAUAUAGCUGUUUUGGAAACAUCAGAAGUACAGUUGUAGCAAUAAAUAAAAUAUGAAUAGAUUAACUUUCGUACACCUAUUUGUGUUGAAAGCACCAGGAGUCAUAGCCAACAAUCACUUUAAUAUUUCUCCAGCUAAUUCUUCUGAUUUAUUUUUAUGUUUGGUUAGCCAGUGACUUCCCCACUAGCUAAAAAAUAUUUUUAAAAGUAUGUAUGUGUUAAUAUAUCUUGACUACUUUUUAAUUUUCCAAUUAAAAAAUAAAUCACACUUUAAUCUCUGUGUCUUGAUUUUUCUCAUUUAAGAAGAGCUCAUUGACUUAGGGGCUACAUACUAUAUGACAAGUUACAUAAAUCACAAUUUUCUUAAAUAUUUCCCUAUUGAUGGUUACUCAGUUUUAUUUUUUUUAUUUUUGCCAUUAGUAACAGUGAAGAAAUUAAUGAUCUUGCAUUUAAAUUUUAAGUACAGGUGAUUGGCUUCUUUUUACAACAUUAAAGAGUUGUAAUUGACAUACAAUAAACUGUAAUUAUAUAGUAGGCAGCUUGCUAAGUAUUGACAUAUGUAUUUACACAUCAAAACAUUACCACUAUUAAGAUAGUCAAACAUCCAUUAUCUCUAAAAGUUUUCACAUGUUACUCUGUAAUUAUUCCUGUCUGACCCUCCCACUGUCCAAAGGUAAUCAAUAACCUGCUUUCUGUCCCUAAAACUCAGUUUGCUAUUUCUAGAAUUUUCUAUAACCAGGAUAAAUUUUUUAAAGAUCUUAUUUUUUUCACUCAAUAGUUAUUUUGGGUGCAUACAUAUUUUUUAGGAUAUCAAUAGUUUGUUUUUAUUGCUAAGGUAUUAUUUUAUUUAUGAAUAUCCCACAAUUUAUUUAUUUAUCCAAAUGUUGAUGGACAUUUGGUUGUUUUGAGUUUGAAACUAUUAUAAAUAAAGCUGCUAUAAUCAUUGGUUUUCUAUUCUUUGUAUAACAUAUAUUGUUGUGGUUGAGGGGUGCAGAUAUCUAGAAAUGAAAUAGCUCGAUUGAUGGUAAGUAUAUAUUUAAUAUUUUAAGGUUCUGUUAAACUGUUUUCCAAAGUAUUUGCGUUAUUUUUCAUUCCCACUAACAGUGCCUGAGGAUUCCAGUUUUUCUACGUGCUUACAAACACUCGAUGUGGUCAGUGUUUUUAAGUUUAGCCUCUCUGAUAGGAGAGUGGCUUUAAUUUGCAUUUCACUCUUAACUAUUGAUGUCAAGCAGAUUUCUGUGUGCCGAUUUGCCAUCUGUAUGUCUUUGGAGAAGUGUCUGUUAACUAUUUUACCAUUUAAUAAAAACUAUGUUGCUUUCUUAUUAC